RNAcentral lists this ribosomal RNA (2931 nucleotides) under Shigella sonnei. RNAcentral describes it as "23S ribosomal RNA". It matches the Rfam family "Bacterial large subunit ribosomal RNA". The record is from RNAcentral. Lineage: Bacteria; Pseudomonadati; Pseudomonadota; Gammaproteobacteria; Enterobacterales; Enterobacteriaceae.
GGGUUGUGAGGUUAAGCGACUAAGCGUACACGGUGGAUGCCCUGGCAGUCAGAGGCGAUGAAGGACGUGCUAAUCUGCGAUAAGCGUCGGUAAGGUGAUAUGAACCGUUAUAACCGGCGAUUUCCGAAUGGGGAAACCCAGUGUGUUUCGACACACUAUCAUUAACUGAAUCCAUAGGUUAAUGAGGCGAACCGGGGGAACUGAAACAUCUAAGUACCCCGAGGAAAAGAAAUCAACCGAGAUUCCCCCAGUAGCGGCGAGCGAACGGGGAGGAGCCCAGAGCCUGAAUCAGUGUGUGUGUUAGUGGAAGCGUCUGGAAAGGCGCGCGAUACAGGGUGACAGCCCCGUACACAAAAAUACACAUAUUGUGAGCUCGAUGAGUAGGGCGGGACACGUGGUAUCCUGUCUGAAUAUGGGGGGACCAUCCUCCAAGGCUAAAUACUCCUGACUGACCGAUAGUGAACCAGUACCGUGAGGGAAAGGCGAAAAGAACCCCGGCGAGGGGAGUGAAAAAGAACCUGAAACCGUGUACGUACAAGCAGUGGGAGCACGCUUAGGCGUGUGACUGCGUACCUUUUGUAUAAUGGGUCAGCGACUUAUAUUCUGUAGCAAGGUUAACCGAAUAGGGGAGCCGAAGGGAAACCGAGUCUUAACUGGGCGUUAAGUUGCAGGGUAUAGACCCGAAACCCGGUGAUCUAGCCAUGGGCAGGUUGAAGGUUGGGUAACACUAACUGGAGGACCGAACCGACUAAUGUUGAAAAAUUAGCGGAUGACUUGUGGCUGGGGGUGAAAGGCCAAUCAAACCGGGAGAUAGCUGGUUCUCCCCGAAAGCUAUUUAGGUAGCGCCUCGUGAAUUCAUCUCCGGGGGUAGAGCACUGUUUCGGCAAGGGGGUCAUCCCGACUUACCGACCCGAUGCAAACUGCGAAUACCGGAGAAUGUUAUCACGGGAGACACACGGCGGGUGCUAACGUCCGUCGUGAAGAGGGAAACAACCCAGACCGCCAGCUAAGGUCCCAAAGUCAUGGUUAAGUGGGAAACGAUGUGGGAAGGCCCAGACAGCCAGGAUGUUGGCUUAGAAGCAGCCAUCAUUUAAAGAAAGCGUAAUAGCUCACUGGUCGAGUCGGCCUGCGCGGAAGAUGUAACGGGGCUAAACCAUGCACCGAAGCUGCGGCAGCGACGCUUAUGCGUUGUUGGGUAGGGGAGCGUUCUGUAAGCCUGCGAAGGUGUGCUGUGAGGCAUGCUGGAGGUAUCAGAAGUGCGAAUGCUGACAUAAGUAACGAUAAAGCGGGUGAAAAGCCCGCUCGCCGGAAGACCAAGGGUUCCUGUCCAACGUUAAUCGGGGCAGGGUGAGUCGACCCCUAAGGCGAGGCCGAAAGGCGUAGUCGAUGGGAAACAGGUUAAUAUUCCUGUACUUGGUGUUACUGCGAAGGGGGGACGGAGAAGGCUAUGUUGGCCGGGCGACGGUUGUCCCGGUUUAAGCGUGUAGGCUGGUUUUCCAGGCAAAUCCGGAAAAUCAAGGCUGAGGCGUGAUGACGAGGCACUACGGUGCUGAAGCAACAAAUGCCCUGCUUCCAGGAAAAGCCUCUAAGCAUCAGGUAACAUCAAAUCGUACCCCAAACCGACACAGGUGGUCAGGUAGAGAAUACCAAGGCGCUUGAGAGAACUCGGGUGAAGGAACUAGGCAAAAUGGUGCCGUAACUUCGGGAGAAGGCACGCUGAUAUGUAGGUGAAGUCCCUUGCGGAUGGAGCUGAAAUCAGUCGAAGAUACCAGCUGGCUGCAACUGUUUAUUAAAAACACAGCACUGUGCAAACACGAAAGUGGACGUAUACGGUGUGACGCCUGCCCGGUGCCGGAAGGUUAAUUGAUGGGGUCAGCGCAAGCGAAGCUCUUGAUCGAAGCCCCGGUAAACGGCGGCCGUAACUAUAACGGUCCUAAGGUAGCGAAAUUCCUUGUCGGGUAAGUUCCGACCUGCACGAAUGGCGUAAUGAUGGCCAGGCUGUCUCCACCCGAGACUCAGUGAAAUUGAACUCGCUGUGAAGAUGCAGUGUACCCGCGGCAAGACGGAAAGACCCCGUGAACCUUUACUAUAGCUUGACACUGAACAUUGAGCCUUGAUGUGUAGGAUAGGUGGGAGGCUUUGAAGUGUGGACGCCAGUCUGCAUGGAGCCGGCCUUGAAAUACCACCCUUUAAUGUUUGAUGUUCUAACGUGGACCCGUGAUCCGGGUUGCGGACAGUGUCUGGUGGGUAGUUUGACUGGGGCGGUCUCCUCCUAAAGAGUAACGGAGGAGCACGAAGGUUGGCUAAUCCUGGUCGGACAUCAGGAGGUUAGUGCAAUGGCAUAAGCCAGCUUGACUGCGAGCGUGACGGCGCGAGCAGGUGCGAAAGCAGGUCAUAGUGAUCCGGUGGUUCUGAAUGGAAGGGCCAUCGCUCAACGGAUAAAAGGUACUCCGGGGAUAACAGGCUGAUACCGCCCAAGAGUUCAUAUCGACGGCGGUGUUUGGCACCUCGAUGUCGGCUCAUCACAUCCUGGGGCUGAAGUAGGUCCCAAGGGUAUGGCUGUUCGCCAUUUAAAGUGGUACGCGAGCUGGGUUUAGAACGUCGUGAGACAGUUCGGUCCCUAUCUGCCGUGGGCGCUGGAGAACUGAGGGGGGCUGCUCCUAGUACGAGAGGACCGGAGUGGACGCAUCACUGGUGUUCGGGUUGUCAUGCCAAUGGCACUGCCCGGUAGCUAAAUGCGGAAGAGAUAAGUGCUGAAAGCAUCUAAGCACGAAACUUGCCCCGAGAUGAGUUCUCCCUGACCCUUUAAGGGUCCUGAAGGAACGUUGAAGACGACGACGUUGAUAGGCCGGGUGUGUAAGCGCAGCGAUGCGUUGAGCUAACCGGUACUAAUGAACCGUGAGGCUUAACCUUACAACGCCGAAGGUGUUU